GACGAACGCUGGCGGCGUGCUUAACACAUGCAAGUCGAACGGAAAGGCCCUGCUUUUGUGGGGUGCUCGAGUGGCGAACGGGUGAGUAACACGUGAGUAACCUGCCCUUGACUUUGGGAUAACUUCAGGAAACUGGGGCUAAUACCGGAUAGGAGCUCCUGCUGCAUGGUGGGGGUUGGAAAGUUUCGGCGGUUGGGGAUGGACUCGCGGCUUAUCAGCUUGUUGGUGGGGUAGAGGCUUACCAAGGCUUAGACGGGUAGCCGGCCUGAGAGGGUGACCGGCCACAUUGGGACUGAGAUACGGCCCAGACUCCUACGGGAGGCAGCAGUGGGGAAUAUUGCACAAUGGGCGGAAGCCUGAUGCAGCAACGCCGCGUGCGGGAUGACGGCCUUCGGGUUGUAAACCGCUUUCGCCUGUGACGAAGCGUGAGUGACGGUAAUGGGUAAAGAAGCACCGGCUAACUACGUG
This 468-nucleotide ribosomal RNA is filed under the name uncultured bacterium. RNAcentral describes it as "partial 16S ribosomal RNA". It matches the Rfam family "Bacterial small subunit ribosomal RNA", at positions 28 to 507 of the family's 1533-position model. The record is from RNAcentral.